UCUUUACGAAGGAGCCGAUAUGGACACACACUACCUCUGCAAACACCAGAAUAAGAUGCUUAGUGGACAACGUUAACGCAAUAGAGAAGAGAUCUGUAAUCUUCACACGAUCUUGUUACAGCCAGGGACAUAAGGUGUCUAGAAUAUUCCAAGGAACUUUUGACAAGUUUCGAAAAAAGCAUAUGGACGUGACACCUAGAGGCAUGGGCACCUACUUUCAAGAGGACAUGCUCUAUAUGCGUAGUGAUAAAGGCUGUGCUGUGAUUAUGGUCACAUAUCCUUUUUGCGGCAGAUAUGUCAUCUAUGAUCUCCGAGUCAAGAAUUCCCACAUUAAAAGACCACCACAUCCCAAAUGCGUUCAGGAAUACCUGAAGUACGAGAAGUAUGGCAAAGUUAUAUAUGACUCAAGCUGCCAGGGUAUACUUGCAGCAAUGGGAAAGGCGGGGCUGUACCAACCGAAUGAUCGUUGUCCGAAUCGCGUUAACUGACUGAAACGCGUUUCUACGACAUCCGUAUUACAAAGAAAUCCUAACUUAAAGAUGUUUGAAGCCGAUGGGCGUUCCAAGACAUUAUCCAUGUGAGC
This is a long non-coding RNA of Rhipicephalus microplus (southern cattle tick), 583 nucleotides long. The record is from RefSeq and is a predicted model, not a curated record. NCBI's taxonomy places the organism in Eukaryota, Metazoa, Arthropoda, Arachnida, Ixodida, Ixodidae.